UUUAAAAUGAGUUUUUAUUCUCUUCUUUCUUUUUUUUUUUUAACUUUUAUUUUCUGUAAGAUAUUCCAUUGUCCAUGGGUAGGCUUCAGGGAAACUUUCAGCUUUUCCCUGCUGCAGACAAGGAAUCGAUGGACACGUUAUACAGGAUGCCAGAGCUGUGUCUGCCUUAGUGUCUAUAGCAUCAGGCUGCGUCUUGGGAGUUAUUUGCAAAGGGAGCAAUGACAGGAACCUCAGAAGGUCUUUGUACACCCAACUGACCCAAGAGGAUCAAAGUCUACGAAACUGUGACCUCAGCUCUAACCCAAGAUGCUGGUGAGGGCCCUCUGGCUACUUGACAACAUGGCUGAUGGCAUCAUGGCAGGAGCACAUAUGAGGAUGAAGAAGAGAUCACAUAGUGAAACAGGAAGCCGGAGACUGGGGAGAGGCCCUGGUAAAACUGAUGGACCUGCAGAAGAAACAAGACCCUUGAUUUUGGCCAGGAGUGUAUGCAGAAGGGAAGUCACAAGACAUUUUGAGAGACAGAUCAGCACAGUCAUCUAA
Molecule: long non-coding RNA, 540 nt
Filed under: Fukomys damarensis (Damara mole-rat)
Lineage: Eukaryota; Metazoa; Chordata; Mammalia; Rodentia; Bathyergidae
Description: lncRNA (ENSFDAG00000028725.1)
Source: RNAcentral